UACAGAGGUGGCAAGCGUUGUUCGGAAUUACUGGGCGUAAAGGGCGCGUAGGCGGCCUUGUAAGUCUCGUGUGAAAGCCCUCGGCUUAACUGAGGAUCUGCACGGGAUACUGCGAGGCUUGAGUUCGGGAGAGGAAAGCGGAAUUCCGGGUGUAGCGGUGAAAUGCGUAGAUAUCCGGAGGAACACCAGUGGCGAAGGCGGCUUUCUGGACCGACACUGACGCUGAUGCGCGAAAGCUGGGGGAGCAAACGGG
RNAcentral lists this ribosomal RNA (253 nucleotides) under uncultured bacterium. RNAcentral describes it as "partial 16S ribosomal RNA". It matches the Rfam family "Bacterial small subunit ribosomal RNA", at positions 524 to 776 of the family's 1533-position model. The record is from RNAcentral.